Molecule: RNA transcript, 705 nt
Organism: Betta splendens (Siamese fighting fish)
Lineage: Eukaryota; Metazoa; Chordata; Actinopteri; Anabantiformes; Osphronemidae
Exons: 2
Source: RefSeq, a predicted model, not a curated record
UACGAUUUGGAACAAAUACAAGACCGAUUUUCACUUCUGGUCACUGAACCUUUGUACCUAUUUAGGAACAGUUUAAAAGUCCAAGUUCAUUCAGCUCAGAUGAGACAGAGUACUUACUUCAUAUCUAAAACACAGACAUGAAGCCUUAUUUCCUUCUGUUUCUACUGCUGCCACUGAUCUGCCUAGGUAGGAAUACACACUCAAAUUCAAUGGGAGUAUAAAAAUUAAUAUAUAUUACAAUUUACAACUUUUACCCAUUUAACAGCAGAUGUUAAAUACUUUGAACCAUAAGGUUAGAGGCCUUGUAUUGACCCAAUUCAUACUGACAAAAACAAGGACUCGACUCAAAUUAACUUUUGAUUUAAUACAUGUUAAAACCAAGGUGCAGCAUGAUGAGGUGACACCAACACAUGUAUUGCAGGUGACCAUUCCACAUUGAGUGUUACGGUCAUGACUUUCUGAUGUUAAACAACCACCUGUUACAAUGCACCAGCAGGUCCAGCAGGCGUGCUACACUAGAGAUAAUGGAGAAAAGGGUUGCACUCAGCUGGACUACUGCUCUCGCCCUGGUUGGACAUGCUGCUACAAACCGACCGCUGCAAUGCCUGAGCAGGGCGCUUUCUGACCACACUGCGUCAAGAACACAUUACCAGUCUGUUGAUGAAGAAACAUGUAGAGACAAAUAAAGUCAUUUCCUCUCCUCGA